Long non-coding RNA from Passer domesticus (house sparrow), 1181 nucleotides. RefSeq lists it as uncharacterized. NCBI's taxonomy places the organism in Eukaryota, Metazoa, Chordata, Aves, Passeriformes, Passeridae. The record is from RefSeq and is a predicted model, not a curated record. The transcript has 2 exons.
CUUCUAAUAUGUGUGUAAUUCUAUUUUUUUUCAGACAAGCUAAUGAUCCAGGAAGAGGAAAGACAUUUUCAGGGCAGCACGAAUAUAAAUGAUAAACUAUGCUAUCUUCUACUCUGGCAGUGCAGCCAUUUUCCUGUCAGAGAAGCCCAGAAAAAGGAGGAAAACGAAUGCAAAAUUUCCUAUUGAAUGACUCAAUUCACCUGGAAUUGCAUUUGAAAUAAUGAAAGCUGUCUCCCAUUAGCAAAGUCCUGUGCCCACUAUUGAAACUAGAUUGUGUGCUGUGGAAUUGCAGUCCUGUCUUAAAAAAAAAAAAAAUUAGCGUUCCUGCUGGGAGAGCACUGAAUGACAAAAUACACUCUGCUCAAAGUAACACAGGGAUUUAUAUCACUCAUGUCACUACAAGAAAGGACUAAUUUACAGGUUAUUAAUUACAAAAUUUUGCAACUGUUUCAGUGCCAAAUGUUAAUGCAUUAUGCAGUAACAUCUCUAGAUUGUGAUAAAUUUGGAAUUAUUCUUAAAUGGUUUUGAAAGUUAUACUGAAUCCUGUGAUUGACUCUUGAUUUCUAAAUGCAUAGAAGAUGCCAUAAGCCUGUAAACAUCCAUAUCCUGAAUCAGGUCUUAUUGAAUAUUGUUUCCUCCCAAACCACUGAUUCAUGUUCCAAAAUUUAAGUGUUCAUAAGCAUAUUAUUUAGCCAAAUAUUGUAAGGUCAGUUACAUAUGACUGCUGGCAUGAACAAUGGCAAAAGUGGUGAAUGUACAUUAAUUCCUAUUCUCUUUCCACAUAAAUGGGCUCAAGUAGUUAUUCUCAUAGGUUUAGUUCAGCAAACAGCCCUCUGCACUCAGUGGAUUAGCUGAUUUAAAAUACUUUAUGCAUGACAAGAAUCUGAUCAUCAAAACAUACUGAAUUUUACUUCUGGAAUUCAUGCUGUUUUCCAUUUUACUCUGUUAAUGGAAGUGGUACAAAUGUUGCUCAUGAGGCCUUGAGAGAGGGCUCAAGACAGCAAGAUGUGUCAGGUUGCAAGUGUCUGAUGAAAACUGAUGGAUCCUUCUGGAGAAACAUUAGGGGCAUAAAGAGAUCAUUUGUUCUCUUUCUGGUGUUUAAAUUAAUGUGGUGUAUUUCAACAUUACUACACUCAAAAAAUAUUUCAUAUGUAUAAUAAAAGAACCUUUUGUGUCUGUGA